UUCCUGGUGACUCAGUGGUAAAGAAUCUGCCUGUAAUGCAGUCAACCUGGGUUUGAUCUCUCGGUCAGGAAG
This 72-nucleotide transfer RNA is filed under the name Bos taurus (domestic cattle). It matches the Rfam family "tRNA". From Rfam's summary of the family: Transfer RNA (tRNA) molecules are approximately 80 nucleotides in length. Their secondary structure includes four short double-helical elements and three loops (D, anti-codon, and T loops). RNAcentral also lists the same sequence under 3 other names. The record is from Rfam by way of RNAcentral. Lineage: Eukaryota; Metazoa; Chordata; Mammalia; Artiodactyla; Bovidae.